GCAUAUUCUCUGAAGGAGGAAAGUAGGGGAUCGAAAGACCUUAUGCUUUUGGAGCGGCCGAUGUCUGAUUAGCUAGUUGGUAGGGUAAUGGCUUACCAAGGCGACGAUCAGUAGUUGGUCUGAGAGGACGACCAGCCACACUGGGACUGAGACACGGCCCAGACUCCUACGGGAGGCAGCAGUGGGGAAUUUUGGACAAUGGGCGCAAGCCUGAUCCAGCAAUGCCGCGUGAGUGAAGAAGGCCUUCGGGGUUGUAAAGCUCUUUCAGUUGAGAAGAAAAAGUCGUGACUAAUAAUCAUGAUUCAUGACGGUAUCAACAGAAGAAGCACCGGCUAACUACGUGCCAGCAGCCGCGGUAAUACGUAGGGUGCAAGCGUUAAUCGGAAUUACUGGGCGUAAAGGGUGCGCAGGCGGUUCUGUAAGUCAGAUGUGAAAUCCCCGGGCUUAACCUGGGAACUGCGUUUGAAACUGCAGAGCUAGAGUGCAGCAGAGGGAGGGGA
RNAcentral lists this ribosomal RNA (500 nucleotides) under uncultured bacterium. RNAcentral's name for it is "bacterial SSU rRNA". It matches the Rfam family "Bacterial small subunit ribosomal RNA", at positions 171 to 664 of the family's 1533-position model. The record is from RNAcentral.